GCCAGUGUGGUAUAGUGGUUUGAGCAUUGGACUAUGACUCUGAAGACCAGGGUUUGAAUCCUGGCUCAGCCA
RNAcentral lists this transfer RNA (72 nucleotides) under Phrynosoma platyrhinos (Desert horned lizard). RNAcentral's name for it is "tRNA-OTHER". Lineage: Eukaryota; Metazoa; Chordata; Lepidosauria; Squamata; Phrynosomatidae. The record is from RNAcentral.